GARUUUGAUCCUGGCUCAGAACGAACGCUGGCGGCGUGCUUAACACAUGCAAGUCGAACGUGAUCCGGAGCUUGCUCCGGUGAAAGUGGCGCACGGGUGAGUAACGCGUGGAUAAUCUGCCCUGGUAUCUGGGAUAACAUCUCGAAAGGGGUGCUAAUACCGGAUAAGCCUACGGUCUCUUYGGAGUCUGCAGGAAGAGGUGGCCUCUAUUUAUAAGCUACCGUAUCAGGAUGAGUCCGCGUACCAUUAGCUAGUUGGUGGGGUAAUGGCCCACCAAGGCUACGAUGGUUAGCUGGUYUGAGAGGAUGAUCAGCCACACUGGAACUGAGACACGGUCCAGACUCCUWCGGGAGGCAGCAGUGAGGAAUAUUGCGCAAUGGGGGAAACCCUGACGCAGCGACGCCGCGUGGGUGAAGAAGGCCUUCGGGUUGUAAAGCCCUGUCAGGUGGGAAGAAGUGUAUCAUGGCUAAUAUCCAUGGUAUUUGACGGUACCACCAAAGGAAGCACCGGCUAACUCCGUGCCAGCAGCCGCGGUAAUACAAGGGCGAAUWWKRCR
Molecule: ribosomal RNA, 556 nt
Filed under: uncultured Geobacteraceae bacterium
Lineage: Bacteria; Pseudomonadati; Thermodesulfobacteriota; Desulfuromonadia; Geobacterales; Geobacteraceae
Description: bacterial SSU rRNA
Rfam family: Bacterial small subunit ribosomal RNA
Source: RNAcentral